AUGCUCACUUCAGCAGCACAUAUACUAAAAUUGGAAUGAUACAGAGAAGAUUAACAUGGCCCCUGUGCAAGGAUGACACGCAAAUUCGUGAAGCAUUCCAUAUAUGU
This 107-nucleotide small nuclear RNA is filed under the name Mus pahari (shrew mouse). Lineage: Eukaryota; Metazoa; Chordata; Mammalia; Rodentia; Muridae. The record is from RNAcentral.